GCCUCGUCAUCUAAUUAGUGACGCGCAUGAAUGGAUUAACGAGAUUCCCACUGUCCCUGCCUACUAUCUAGCGAAAACCACAGCCAAGGGAACGGGCUUGGCGGAAUCAGCGGGGAAAGAAGACCCUGUUGAGCUUGACUCUAGUCUGACGUUGUGAAGAGACAUGAGAGGUGUAGAAUAAGUGGGAGCGCAAGCAACAGUGAAAUACCACUACUUUUAUCGUUUCUUUACUUACUCGAUGAAGCGGAAGGCGGCCGAAAGGCCACACUUCUAGAUUUAAGCAGUUGCCCUCGUGGCAAUUGCGAUCCGCUUUGACGACAGCGUCAGGCGGGGAGUUUGACUGGGGCGGUACAUCUGUCAAAAAAGUAACGCAGGUGUCCUAAGGCGAGCUCAGCGAGGACAGAAACCUCGCGUAGAGCAAAAAGGGCAAAUGCUCGCUUGAUUUUGAUUUUCAGUACGAAUACAGACCGUGAAAGCGCGGCCUAUCGAUCCUUUUGAUUUUACGAG
RNAcentral lists this ribosomal RNA (507 nucleotides) under uncultured eukaryote. RNAcentral describes it as "eukaryotic LSU rRNA". It matches the Rfam family "Eukaryotic large subunit ribosomal RNA", at positions 2289 to 2789 of the family's 3401-position model. The record is from RNAcentral.